Molecule: transfer RNA, 77 nt
Filed under: Clostridium sp.
Lineage: Bacteria; Bacillati; Bacillota; Clostridia; Eubacteriales; Clostridiaceae
Also listed under: 3 other names
Description: tRNA-Met
Rfam family: tRNA
About the family: Transfer RNA (tRNA) molecules are approximately 80 nucleotides in length. Their secondary structure includes four short double-helical elements and three loops (D, anti-codon, and T loops). Further hydrogen bonds mediate the characteristic L-shaped molecular structure. tRNAs have two regions of fundamental functional importance: the anti-codon, which is responsible for specific mRNA codon recognition, and the 3' end, to which the tRNAs corresponding amino acid is attached (by aminoacyl-tRNA synthetases). tRNAs cope with the degeneracy of the genetic code in two manners: having more than one tRNA (with a specific anti-codon) for a particular amino acid; and 'wobble' base-pairing, i.e. permitting non-standard base-pairing at the 3rd anti-codon position.
Source: RNAcentral
CGCGGGAUAGAGCAGUUUGGUAGCUCGUCGGGCUCAUAACCCGGAGGUCGUAGGUUCAAAUCCUACUCCCGCAACCA